AGUGAACGCUGGCGGUAGGCCUAACACAUGCAAGUCGAACGGCAGCACAGUAAGAGCUUGCUCUUACGGGUGGCGAGUGGCGGACGGGUGAGGAAUACAUCGGAAUCUACUUUUUCGUGGGGGAUAACGUAGGGAAACUUACGCUAAUACCGCAUACGACCUACGGGUGAAAGCAGGGGAUCUUCGGACCUUGCGCGAUUGAAUGAGCCGAUGUUGGAUUAGCUAGUUGGCGGGGUAAAGGCCCACCAAGGCGGCGAUCCGUAGCUGGUGUGAGAGGAUGGUCAGCCACACGGGAACUGGGACAGGGUCCAGACUCCUACGGGAGGGAGCAGUGGCGAAUAUUGGACAAAGGGGGCAAGUCUGAUACAGCCAUACCGCGUGUGUGAAGAAGGCCUUCGGGUUGUAAAGCCCUUUUGUUGGGAAAGAAAAGCAGCAGGUUAAUACCCCGCUGUUCUGACGGUACCCAAAGAAUAAGCACCGGCUAACUUCGUG
Molecule: ribosomal RNA, 492 nt
Filed under: uncultured bacterium
Lineage: Bacteria
Description: partial 16S ribosomal RNA
Rfam family: Bacterial small subunit ribosomal RNA
Source: RNAcentral